AAACUUCAUAUCAUGCUAUCAGUGCCCCGUUUUGCCACCACCAAACUCUGCCUCGCUAGCCAAGGCUCCAAAGUAAUUUUCCUCUCUAAACUAUCACAAAGUAGGCCUUUCUUUGUUGCUAAACUGUGUGCUUAUUAUACAGAAUCGAAAUCCAGGUAGAUUUAGUUCUAAAUUUUGGAGGGAUGAAGAUGAAACAAACAUCUUCAUGCAAUUUUUUGUUUUUUGAUGUUGUUGGAUCUCCAUAUUAAUGUUUUUGUAUUUCUGCCUUGUGUGUUGAAUGGUGGUCUUUUCGUCUCUAAACUUUGAUUUGCACUUACAAAUUGAUGGACUUCAGUUUUUACCUGGUUGCUAUGUUCUCUCUCUCUCUCUCUCAUCAAGAGAUUGAGAUGCACUUAUGACGUUUAACCUUCUAAGUCAAUGACUCCUUGGAAAUAUAUAAUCAGAAAGAAUCUCCGUAGCAGAUUCAACAUUGAUUUCAAAUUAGAU
RNAcentral lists this long non-coding RNA (486 nucleotides) under Glycine max (soybean). Its description in RNAcentral is "long non-coding RNA (GMAX_LNC002023)". Lineage: Eukaryota; Viridiplantae; Streptophyta; Magnoliopsida; Fabales; Fabaceae. The record is from RNAcentral.